GAGAGUAAACAGUGCGUGAAACCGCUCAGAGGUAAACGGGUGGAGUUGAACUGCGAUCCUUGGGAAUUCAGCUGAUGAGCAUGAUUUGUGCUUGGGCAUAUUGGCCGCCUUUCAGUGUCUGUCUAAUUACAGGUGCCUGCCUAUAGGUAGGUAUGUGUGGUGCGCUUAUCAUGUGCUGCACGCAUUGGAGGGUGUAUGGGUCUGCUUGUCAGUGCACUUUCUCAGGGUGUUCACCACGACCGGCACUGCUGUCUGUCUGCUGUAGUCAAACUGAUCAGGCCUGAUUAACGUUGGGCUUGGUUGGGUUGGUAGUUGAAUUUCUGGCCGACUAUAGUGGAUCUGUACGGUGUGUCGGAGACUGCGGCUAUAUAUAUGUGCUCUGUCCUUCAGGCGGGGUUGAGUCUGGUCGACUUGUUGCUGGUUUCGGCCGGUCAGUUGAUGGCUUGAUCCUGUUCAGCUGGCAGUUGCUUGUGUUUUAAUUUUGGCCAACAGUCUGUGGUGUUGUGGUAGACUAUCCACCUG
This 522-nucleotide ribosomal RNA is filed under the name Bilharziella polonica. RNAcentral's name for it is "partial 28S ribosomal RNA". The record is from RNAcentral. Lineage: Eukaryota; Metazoa; Platyhelminthes; Trematoda; Strigeidida; Schistosomatidae.